AGUAAAUAGAUACCCAGGUAGUCCACGCCGUAAACGAUGUCGACUUGGAGGUUGUGCCCUUGAGGCGUGGCUUCCGGAGCUAAACGCGUUAAGUCGACCGCCUGGGGAGUACGGCCGCAAGGUUAAAACUCAAAUGAAUUGACGGGGGCCCGCACAAGCGGUGGAGCAUGUGGUUUAAUCGAUGCAACGCGAAGAACCUUACCUACUCUUGACAUCCAGAGAACUUAGCAGAGAUGCUUUGGUGCCUUCGGGAACUCUGAGACAGGUGCUGCAUGGCUGUCGUCAGCUCGUGUUGUGAAAUGUUGGGUUAAGUCCCGCAACGAGCGCAACCCUUAUCCUUUGUUGCCAGCGGUUAGGCCGGGAACGUCAAACGGAGACUGCCAGUGAUAAACU
Molecule: ribosomal RNA, 393 nt
Filed under: uncultured bacterium
Lineage: Bacteria
Description: bacterial SSU rRNA
Rfam family: Bacterial small subunit ribosomal RNA
Source: RNAcentral